This 323-nucleotide ribosomal RNA is filed under the name uncultured bacterium. RNAcentral's name for it is "bacterial SSU rRNA". It matches the Rfam family "Bacterial small subunit ribosomal RNA", at positions 28 to 334 of the family's 1533-position model. The record is from RNAcentral.
GAUGAACGCUGGCGGCGUGCUUAACACAUGCAAGUCGAACGGGAAUUACUUUAUUGAAACUUCGGUCGAUCUAAUUUAAUUCUAGUGGCGGACGGGUGAGUAACGCGUGGGUAACCUGCCUUAUACAGGGGGAUAACAGUCAGAAAUGACUGCUAAUACCGCAUAAGCGCACGGAACCGCAUGGUUCUGUGUGAAAAACUCCGGUGGUAUAAGAUGGACCCGCGUUGGAUUAGCUUGUUGGUGAGGUAACGGCUCACCAAGGCGACGAUCCAUAGCCGGCCUGAGAGGGUGAACGGCCACAUUGGGACUGAGACACGGCCCAG